GCAGUCGAGCGGAUGACGGGGAGCUUGCUCCCCUGAUUCAGCGGCGGACGGGUGAGUAACACGUGGGCAACCUGCCUGUAAGAUCGGGAUAACUCCGGGAAACCGGGGCUAAUACCGGAUGGUUCCUUCCUCCGCAUGGAGGAAGGCGGAAAGACGGUUUCGGCUGUCACUUACAGAUGGGCCCGCGGCGCAUUAGCUAGUUGGUGGGGUAAUGGCCCACCAAGGCAACGAUGCGUAGCCGACCUGAGAGGGUGAUCGGCCACACUGGGACUGAGACACGGCCCAGACUCCUACGGGAGGCAGCAGUAGGGAAUCUUCCGCAAUGGACGAAAGUCUGACGGAGCAACGCCGCGUGAGCGAAGAAGGCCUUCGGGUCGUAAAGCUCUGUUGUAAGGGAAGAACAAGCAUCGGUUAACUGCCGGUGCCCUGACGGUACCUUACCAGAAAGCCACGGCUAACUACGUGCCAGCAGCCGCGGUAAUACGUAGGUGGCAAGCGUUGUCCGGAAUUAUUGGGCGUAAAGCGCGCGCAGGCGGUUUCUUAAGUCUGAUGUGAAAGCCCACGGCUCAACCGUGGAGGGUCAUUGGAAACUGGGAGACUUGAGUGCAGAAGAGGAAAGCGGAAUUCCACGUGUAGCGGUGAAAUGCGUAGAGAUGUGGAGGAACACCAGUGGCGAAGCGGCUUUCUGGUCUGUAACUGACGCUGAGGCGCGAAAGCGUGGGGAGCAACAGAUUAGAUACCCUGGUAGUCCACGCCCGUAAACG
RNAcentral lists this ribosomal RNA (764 nucleotides) under Bhargavaea cecembensis. RNAcentral's name for it is "bacterial SSU rRNA". It matches the Rfam family "Bacterial small subunit ribosomal RNA", at positions 57 to 808 of the family's 1533-position model. Lineage: Bacteria; Bacillati; Bacillota; Bacilli; Caryophanales; Caryophanaceae. The record is from RNAcentral.